This 443-nucleotide ribosomal RNA is filed under the name uncultured bacterium. RNAcentral describes it as "partial 16S ribosomal RNA". It matches the Rfam family "Bacterial small subunit ribosomal RNA", at positions 28 to 507 of the family's 1533-position model. The record is from RNAcentral.
GAUGAACGCUGGCGGCAUGCCUAACACAUGCAAGUCGAUCGGUAAGGCUCUUCGUAGUACACGAGAGGCGGACGGCUGAGUAACGCGUAGGAACACACCCUGCAGUUAGGGAUAAGACACCGAAAGGUGUUCUAAUACCUCAUACGGUCUUCGGAUUAAAGCAUUUAUGCGCUGAAGGAGUGGCCUGCGUCAUAUUAGAUCGGUGGUGAGGUAAUGGCUCACCAAGUCGAUGAUGUGUAGCUGGUCUGAGAGGAUGGUCAGCCAGACUGGAACUGAGACACGGUCGAGACUACUACGGGAGGCAGCAGUGAGGAAUAUUGCACAAUGAGCGAAAGCUUGAUGGAGCAAUGACGCGUGCAGGAUGAAGGCCCUCGGGUUGUAAACUGCUUUUAUAAGAGAAGAUUAUGACGGUAACUUAUGAAUAAGGGACGGCUAACUACGUG